RNAcentral lists this ribosomal RNA (440 nucleotides) under uncultured bacterium. RNAcentral describes it as "partial 16S ribosomal RNA". It matches the Rfam family "Bacterial small subunit ribosomal RNA", at positions 338 to 795 of the family's 1533-position model. The record is from RNAcentral.
CCUACGGGUGGCUGCAGUGGGGAAUAUUGCACAAUGGGGGGAACCCUGAUGCAGCGACGCCGCGUGAGUGAAGAAGUAUUUCGGUAUGUAAAGCUCUAUCAGCAGGGAAGAAGAUGACGGUACCUGACUAAGAAGCCCCGGCUAACUACGUGCCAGCAGCCGCGGUAAUACGUAGGGGGCAAGCGUUAUCCGGAUUUACUGGGUGUAAAGGGAGCGUAGACGGGUAGGCAAGUCUGGAGUGAAAGACCGGGGCCCAACCCCGGGACUGCUUUGGAAACUGUCUAACUAGAGUGCAGGAGAGGUAAGCGGAAUUCCUAGUGUAGCGGGGAAAUGCGUAGAUAUUAGGAGGAACACCAGUGGCGAAGGCGGCUUACUGGACAGUAACUGACGUUGAGGCUCGAAAGCGUGGGGAGCAAACAGGAUUAGAUACCCUUGUAGUC